AAUCCCUAUGAAGAAUUAAUCCCAGAAGUAAAGUAAAAGUAGUGGACCGAUUUAUUUCCAUUGACGAAUAUCUAAUUCCGAGGGAUG
RNAcentral lists this small nucleolar RNA (87 nucleotides) under Theobroma cacao (cacao). RNAcentral's name for it is "Small nucleolar RNA R21". It matches the Rfam family "Small nucleolar RNA R21". From Rfam's summary of the family: snoR21 is a member of the C/D class of snoRNA which contain the C (UGAUGA) and D (CUGA) box motifs. Most of the members of the box C/D family function in directing site-specific 2'-O-methylation of substrate RNAs. Lineage: Eukaryota; Viridiplantae; Streptophyta; Magnoliopsida; Malvales; Malvaceae. The record is from Rfam by way of RNAcentral.